RNAcentral lists this ribosomal RNA (369 nucleotides) under uncultured organism. RNAcentral's name for it is "bacterial SSU rRNA". It matches the Rfam family "Bacterial small subunit ribosomal RNA", at positions 526 to 896 of the family's 1533-position model. The record is from RNAcentral.
CGUAGGUGGCAAGCGUUGUCCGGAUUUAUUGGGUUUAAAGGGUGCGUAGGCGGUCUUAUAAGUCAGUGCUGAAAUAUCCCGGCUUAACCGGGAGGGUGGCAUUGAUACUGUAGGACUUGAGUAAAGUUGAGGUUGGCGGAAUUGACGGUGUAGCGGUGAAAUGCUUAGAUAUCGUCAAGAACACCGAUAGUGUAGACAGCUAACUAAGCUUUAACUGACGCUGAGGCACGAAAGUGUGGGGAUCAAACAGGAUUAGAUACCCUGGUAGUCCACACUGUAAACGUUGAAGACUCGCUGUUGGCGAUACACAGUCAGCGGCUGAGAGAAAUCGUUAAGUCUUCCACCUGGGGAGUACGCCCGGCAACGGUG